AUGGAUGUGCGAUCUCUUCUGCCGCUACGUCUCCAUUCGACUCACCAAGGUUUGUUGUUCUCCUUUUUACAUGUGUGUGUAUUUUACUUUCACUAUCUGCUAUAUCAUGAUAUCUGCCUUCAUGAUCGUUUAAAUAUUAUUAUGGUGUCUGCCAUGCUGAUCGUUCAAAUAUUUUGGAUACGGCAGGGCAUUAUGUGGUGUUCUUCUCUUGCUACUUACAGUUCGUGUAUGCGUGUGAGCAGGAUCUAUGCACUUGUUUCCGUUGUUAUACUUGUUUUGGAGACUGAGGUAGCUCGGUGUGCUUUGCCGUCGCUUUCGUGUAUGUGUGAGGUUGUAGACAACGGUUCUGUUCUUGCUGGUGUAGAACUCGAGCUCCCAGGGGACGGUUCUACUCCAGUGCCAUAA
Molecule: ribosomal RNA, 405 nt
Filed under: Triticum aestivum (bread wheat)
Lineage: Eukaryota; Viridiplantae; Streptophyta; Magnoliopsida; Poales; Poaceae
Description: partial small subunit ribosomal RNA
Source: RNAcentral